Podarcis lilfordi (Lilford's wall lizard) is the source of this 77-nucleotide non-coding RNA. The record is from the annotation of a GenBank genome assembly. Lineage: Eukaryota; Metazoa; Chordata; Lepidosauria; Squamata; Lacertidae.
GGGAAAAGCAUGUAGUGUAGUGGUAGAGCUCUUGCUUUGCAUGCAGAAGGUCCUAAGUUUGAUCCCUGGCAUUCUCA